UCAAGCUUCGGACAGCGUCGCGAGUGGACGAUUCAUAACAAUAUUGGAAUAACGCGUAUCACUGUGCCCGCGAUAGUUACGAAAAUGGAGUUAAAUUUUAUAACAACCCUUAUUAAACACGAUGUGAACCACAAUGUGAAACAGUGUUUUAAAACGAAAAAGCCUUUCGUUACUAGAAAAGAAGAAGUAAUGGCGAUCAAAAGUAAAUUUCCAACUAAAAUACCGCUUAUUGUUGAGAGAUAUCACAAAGAGAGAAAUCUACCAACGUUGGACAAAACAAAGUUUCUUGUCCCGGAAGACAUCACAAUGUCGCAAUUCCUAGUGAUUAUUCGUAACAGAAUUAGAAUAAAACCGAAUCAAGCCCUCUACCUGAUAAUCAACAACAGAUCUAUGCUGAGCAUGAGUCUAACCAUGGCGCAGGCGUACGAGCUGUAUGGUGAUGAGGAUGGUUUUCUUUACGUUACCUACGCAUCUCAGGAAGUUUUCGGUUAUCAAGAUGACAUGACGGGAUCUGACAAGGAAGUUCAAGUAAUUAGGGACAGAUUUCCGAAUAAAAUACCGUUAUUCGUGGAGAGAUUCGCCCGAGAAAGAGAAGUUCCAGUACUAGGCAGGAACAAGUUCUUGGUGCCGCAAGAACUCACUAUGUCUCAGUUCCUGUACAUCAUUCGUACUAAGAUGAAAUUAAGAGACUCUCAGGUAUAUUUAUUUAGGCGUUGUAUCUGCUAGUUAACGACAAAGUGCUCGUGAGCCACAGCAUGACGAUGGCUCAAGCGUACGACCAGUUCCGAAGCGCGGACGGAUUUUUGCACAUAACUUACGCCGCGCAGCAAGUCUUCGGUUGAAACUCAUGGUCACCCCAAACUUCCCGGUUACGCGAAGAUAUGAAAACUGGCAUUUAAUUAAAUGAUUAUAUUUUAAAGACUGAUAGUAUUUUAUUUUUGUGAUAAACUUAGCAUUGUAGGAUUUUAAAUUAUAACCAUUAUUAUAUUUGGCUAUAUCGUUUAUUUCAAUGAGGCCUGUUCCAAAUAAAAUGUAUUUAGAUCAUGUUAUUAUAUUUUAUUAUCUGUGUAUUUGUAGUGUUUUUUUAUUAUAAUGAUUCAAUUGUGUCAUAUUUGUUACUUAUGUUAUUGUAUAAUUUUUCAAUUUUUAAGAAUAUUUAUGAUCUCAAAAAUUAUAAGAAAUAUAUUGGUGUCUUAAUUUCCCCUGUUUUAGAAAUAAGAGUGGAAAUAUUUUAUAUAAUAAUUGUAAAUAAAAAUU
This is an RNA transcript of Nymphalis io (European peacock), 1257 nucleotides long. RefSeq lists it as uncharacterized. The transcript is spliced from 8 exons. NCBI's taxonomy places the organism in Eukaryota, Metazoa, Arthropoda, Insecta, Lepidoptera, Nymphalidae. The record is from RefSeq and is a predicted model, not a curated record.